UACGAAGGGUGCAAGCGUUACUCGGAAUUACUGGGCGUAAAGCGUGCGUAGGCGGUUCGUUAAGUCAGCUGUGAAAGCCCCGGGCUCAACCUGGGAAUUGCGGUUGAAACUGGCGAACUAGAAUCUGGCAGAGGGGGGUGGAAUUCCACGUGUAGCAGUGAAAUGCGUAGAGAUGUGGAGGAACACCGAUGGCGAAGGCAGCCCCCUGGGCUGAGAUUGACGCUCAGGCACGAAAGCGUGGGGAGCAAACAGG
This 253-nucleotide ribosomal RNA is filed under the name uncultured bacterium. Its description in RNAcentral is "partial 16S ribosomal RNA". It matches the Rfam family "Bacterial small subunit ribosomal RNA", at positions 524 to 776 of the family's 1533-position model. The record is from RNAcentral.